GUGGUGACGCCCUGCUCCCUGCCGGUCAACUAUCCAUUGCUCGAUCGCUCGGACUCUUUUGUAAACCAUGUCACCAGAACAACUUCCGGCAGUUUUUUGAAAAGCUCAUCUUUCUGCUGCGACAAACUCUCGGAAACUGCCGACUUUGAUCACAUGAUGGAGGAAGGUUAUGAACUGGACUUGACUUACAUCACAGAGCGGAUCAUUGCUCUCUCCUUCCCAGCCAGCUGCUCAGAGGAGACCUACCUGCACAACCUCCAGGAUGUCACGCGGAUGCUCAAAUCCAAACAUG
Molecule: long non-coding RNA, 292 nt
Organism: Gekko japonicus
Lineage: Eukaryota; Metazoa; Chordata; Lepidosauria; Squamata; Gekkonidae
Exons: 4
Source: RefSeq, a predicted model, not a curated record